RNAcentral lists this ribosomal RNA (835 nucleotides) under uncultured archaeon. RNAcentral's name for it is "bacterial SSU rRNA". It matches the Rfam family "Archaeal small subunit ribosomal RNA", at positions 21 to 859 of the family's 1478-position model. The record is from RNAcentral.
GGUUACUGCUAUCGAGGUUCGACUAAGCCAUGCGAGUCGAAUGUAGCAAUACAUGGCGUACUGCUCAGUAACACGUGGAUAACCUGCCCUUGGGUCCGGCAUAACCCCGGGAAACUGGGGAUAAUUCCGGAUAACGCAUAUAUGCUGGAAUGCUUUAUGUGUAAAAUGGAUUCGUCUGCCCAAGGAUGGGUCUGCGGCCUAUCAGGUAGUGGUGGGUGUAAUGUACCUACUAGCCUACGACGGGUACGGGUUGUGAGAGCAAGAGCCCGGAGAUGGAUUCUGAGACUUGAAUCCAGGCCCUACGGGGCGCAGCAGGCGCGAAAACUUUACAAUGCGGGAAACCGUGAUAAGGGGACACCGAGUGCCAGCAUCCUAUGCUGGCUGUCCGGGUGUGUAAAAUACACCUGUUAGCUAGGGCCGGGCAAGACCGGUGCCAGCCGCCGCGGUAACACCGGCGGCCCGAGUGGUGAUCGUGAUUAUUGGGUCUAAAGGGUCCGUAGCCGGUUUGGUCAGUCCUCCGGGAAAUCUGACAGCUUAACUGUUAGGCUUUCGGAGGAUACUGCCAGACUUGGAACCGGGAGAGGUAAGAGGUACUACAGGGGUAGGAGUGAAAUCUUGUAAUCCCUGUGGGACCACCUGUGGCGAAAGCGUCUUACCAGAACGGGUUCGACGGUGAGGGACGAAAGCUGGGGGCACGAACCGGAUUAGAUACCCGGGUAGUCCCAGCCGUAAACGAUGCUCGCUAGGUGUCAGGCAUGGCGCGACCGUGUCUGGUGCCGCAGGGAAGCCGUGAAGCGAGCCACCUGGGAAGUACGGCCGCAAGGCUGAAACUUAA